Molecule: ribosomal RNA, 900 nt
Filed under: Wuestneia molokaiensis
Lineage: Eukaryota; Fungi; Ascomycota; Sordariomycetes; Diaporthales; Melanconidaceae
Description: eukaryotic LSU rRNA
Rfam family: Eukaryotic large subunit ribosomal RNA
Source: RNAcentral
CCGCUGAACUUAAGCAUAUCAAUAAGCGGAGGAAAAGAAACCAACAGGGAUUGCCCUAGUAACGGCGAGUGAAGCGGCAACAGCUCAAAUUUGAAAUCUGGCCUCGGCCCGAGUUGUAAUUUGCAGAGGAUGUUUCUGGCGCGGUGCCUUCCGAGUUCCCUGGAACGGGACGCCACAGAGGGUGAGAGCCCCGUAUGGUUGGACACCAAGCCUGUGUGAAACUCCUUCGACGAGUCGAGUAGUUUGGGAAUGCUGCUCUAAAUGGGAGGUAAAUCUCUUCUAAAGCUAAAUACCGGCCAGAGACCGAUAGCGCACAAGUAGAGUGAUCGAAAGAUGAAAAGCACCUUGAAAAGGGGGUUAAACAGUACGUGAAAUUGUUGAAAGGGAAGCGCUCAUGACCAGACUUGUGCCGGGCGGUUCAUCCGGGGUUCUCCCCGGUGCACUCCGCCCGGCUCAGGCCAGCAUCGGUUCUCGUUGGGGGAUAAGAACGGUAGGAACGUGGCCCUCCCUCGGGAGGGUGUUAUAGCCUGCCGUACGAUACCCUGAUGGGGACCGAGGUUCGCGCUCCGCAAGGAUGCUGGCGUAAUGGUCAUCAGCGACCCGUCUUGAAACACGGACCAAGGAGUCGUCCAUUAGAGCGAGCGUUUGGGUGUAAAACCCGCACGCGUAAUGAAAGUGAAAUUAGGUGAGAGCUUCGGCGCAUCAUCGACCGAUCCUGAUGUUCUCGGAUGGAUUUGAGUAAGAGUUUUAACGGACGGACCCGAAAGACAGUGAACUAUGCUUGUAUAGGGUGAAGCCAGAGGAAACUCUGGUGGAGGCUCGCAGCGGUUCUGACGUGCAAAUCGAUCGUCAAAUAUGAGCAUGGGGGCGAAAGACUAAUCGAACUGUCUAGUAGCUGGU